UUUAACAACAUGAAGCUGGAGUGGAGGUCAAAGGUGAGGUCAUUUAGGGCAUUGUAGGCCACAUGGAUCAGCCAGAGUUCUGGCAGGAAAUGAAAAGCAUAAUUUAGUUGAGUUAUGUGGAGAGAGUUUUGAUGUGGGCCAGGCAUCGGAAAAGCAACAAGGGUUGCUUACCUGGCCACAGACCCCUUGGCUCACUCAACUCCACAAGUGGCCUGACUAGUUCUCCCAGUGGAAAGGAGCUAAAAUGAUGUGGGUCAUAUCAUCUCCUUUCGCUUGGGUGCAGGGGUUCUGAAUUACCAUGUACCUGGUUCCCUGAAUUACCAUGUACCUGCUUUGGACUUUCACCUCAGUGAAAAGUUUAUGGGAAUUCCUUUAAGAUUUCAGCAGAAAGCAUGGUGGCUUGGUUUGAAAUACAUCUGUACAAAAACAAAACAAGCAGCAACAAUAACGAUAGCAAACUGAGAUCUGGAUAAUGGAAGAAGCCAGCCACACAAAGAGGCAAGGGAAGAACAUUUCAUUUCGCAGAAAGAGUGUCCCCCACCUCUCUCCUUUUGGGUGUGCCAGAGAAGCCUGCAAUCCCACUGCUUCUAACAGCCUUCUUGUGACUGAGGUAAGAUAGUCUUUGGGGAGAAGCAGAUCAUAGAUAUGGCAGAAAAGGGAGAGAAAAUGGGUCUUGGUAAACCA
RNAcentral lists this long non-coding RNA (684 nucleotides) under Bos indicus x Bos taurus (hybrid cattle). Its description in RNAcentral is "lncRNA (ENSBIXG00000004868.1)". Lineage: Eukaryota; Metazoa; Chordata; Mammalia; Artiodactyla; Bovidae. The record is from RNAcentral.